This 439-nucleotide ribosomal RNA is filed under the name uncultured bacterium. Its description in RNAcentral is "partial 16S ribosomal RNA". It matches the Rfam family "Bacterial small subunit ribosomal RNA", at positions 339 to 795 of the family's 1533-position model. The record is from RNAcentral.
CUACGGGUGGCUCCAGUGGGGAAUAUUGCACAAUGGGCGCAAGCCUGAUGCAGCAACGCCGCGUGGAGGAUGACGCAUUUCGGUGUGUAAACUCCUUUUAUAUGUCAAGAAAAUGACGGUAGCAUAUGAAUAAGCACCGGCUAACUCCGUGCCAGCAGCCGCGGUAAUACGGAGGGUGCAAGCGUUACUCGGAAUCACUGGGCGUAAAGGACGCGUAGGCGGGUUGGAAAGUCAGGUGUGAAAUCCUACAGCUUAACUGUAGAACUGCACUUGAAACUUCUAAUCUAGAGUAUGGGAGGGGGAGAUGGAAUUAGUGGUGUAGGGGUAAAAUCCGUAGAUAUCACUAGGAAUACCUAAAGCGAAGGCGAUCUCCUGGAACAUUACUGACGCUAAGGCGUGAAAGCGUGGGGAGCAAACAGGAUUAGAUACCCCGGUAGUC